AAAGCAAAGACUAUAAAAUGCCAGAGCUUCACUCUGCUGAAAUAACAUUAGUGAAAUAUCAAGUCCUUUAUGAUGUCAUGAGGGAUUCCUUAAUAUGACUAUAGCCUCCUAAUGACAUCAUAAAAAACAACUGCAACAUCAGAAAACAGCCAAGGGUCAUCAAUCAGCCCAUCCUCUCUCCUACUCACCAGGGGCAGCAGCCCAGCUUGCUCCUAUCUGCUUUUUAUGAGCAGUGCUGUCCUCUGAAUAGCACACAGAGAAGAGACUAAUAAUCAUACAAAUAUCAGGGAGAGCGGUCAAUCAUCACCUGAAGCAUUCAGUACACCUGAGGGAAAUUCGGGUGCUGCAGCCUGAAGAGUCUGCAAGUUUAGCAUGUAGAAAAGACAACAUUACUGCCUUAGAGGUGACCUGGCAUUCUCUGGGCAACACAAGUUGUCAAGCGAAGGAGGGUGGAAAGGAGGAGAAGCCUAUGCAAAUUGGAAUGCACACAAUCUUCUGACAAUCACUUAGUCUGCAUCUUUCUGCUGUGAAAUCUAGUAACAGCUGGUUUGCUUUACAUGCAAGAACUUGUUUCCAGAGCAGCAUGGGAGGCUCAGGAUCAUUAAAAGUUUCUGCCAGCACUGGAACAUCUCCUGUUGAGGCACAAAAUAUAAAUUGGUCUGUGACAGGAGGAGAGGCAGCAGGGAGUGAAACAGGCUGCUGGUGUUUGAGGCUCAUAGGUCCUGCAGCCUUCCCCUGUUCUUGACAUGUACCAACUCUCUAAGAUUUUUUUCCCUGUGACUUCUUGUUAGGUUAAGCUGUUAUUUGUGUUCAGAAUUAAAGAAGAAAACUGAAUGACAAAAGCACAAAAUAUUUUAAG
This is a long non-coding RNA of Passer domesticus (house sparrow), 859 nucleotides long. RefSeq lists it as uncharacterized. NCBI's taxonomy places the organism in Eukaryota, Metazoa, Chordata, Aves, Passeriformes, Passeridae. The transcript has 3 exons. The record is from RefSeq and is a predicted model, not a curated record.